Molecule: long non-coding RNA, 797 nt
Filed under: Marmota monax (woodchuck)
Lineage: Eukaryota; Metazoa; Chordata; Mammalia; Rodentia; Sciuridae
Source: RNAcentral
AAAAUGGACAUUUUUAUUUUCAUUUUACAGAUGAGCAAACUGAGGCUUGCUGAAGUUAUUAUUUCUCUAAGUCAUACAGCCCGUAAGAGAGACAGGUGAGAUCUGAGCCCAUGACCAUCAUGUUCUUCUUGGUUGAUGCCAUUCCCCCCCACCCACUUCCCUGGGAGGAGUCAGGUCACAUCAACCCCUUGCCCAGGCUCCCGCUGGCUUCUCCAUUGCUCUGUUUAAUCUGGACUGAUCAGAAAUGACAGGAGAAACAAAGGUCCGGGAACAGAUUUACUGCAGAAAAUAAAGCCAGCCGAUUAUGGCUGUGGCCUCAGCAUCUUGAAGUGACAGAGAGAAUAGAUGGGCUGGUGGAAAACGGUAUCAAGUCCCCUAGGAAACGUAAGUCACAUGGAGAAGAAGAAAGGGCCCUGGAUCUUCAGGAGCCCCAUGGGCUGUGUGAGCAUCCAGCUGUGGCUGGAAAUGUCACUGUGCCAGGGAGGAGGCCAUGGCAUCCGUGGUCCCUAAGUCCUGGACUCCAAGGGCCCAGCUGGAGUAGCGGCCUAGCCUGUCCCAUCGAUGCAGCUGGCAAGGCUCUGCCCCAGGAUGCAGCAGGGUCCAGGACCCAUAGAGGUGCCAAUGACAUGAUAGCUCCAUUGUUCCCCUAAAAGGCUGGCCCAGCACCUCAGGGACCCCAGGGUCAGUGCUCAGUGAGAAAGACAGGAAGCAGCCAAGGGAAGGUGAUAGGGCAGGAAGCCAGGAAGGACUGCUCCUCAAUCUGCAUAUGAACACAGGGAAAGGAUGGUGGCUCUUAG